Molecule: non-coding RNA, 1369 nt
Organism: Lonchura striata (white-rumped munia)
Lineage: Eukaryota; Metazoa; Chordata; Aves; Passeriformes; Estrildidae
Source: RefSeq, a predicted model, not a curated record
GGGGUGCGGCGGGCAUGGAGCGGGGCCGGGACGGGGAGGAGGAGCUGGAGGAGGAGGAUGAGGAUGAGGAGGAGGAUGGCGGCCCAGAGAGCGCCCUGGAGAAGAGCCCGUUCCAGCUGACUGCCGCAGAUGUCUACGACAUCUCCUCGGUGGUGGGCCGGGACCUGCUGCAGCUCCACGCCGGGCCGCAGCUGCCCGCCGCCCGCGCCCGGCUGCAGUUCAGGAUCGUCAGGGUGCUGGAGAUGCUGGAGGCGCUGGUGAGCGAGAGCAGCGUGGCCGAGGAGCAGCUGCGGCGGGAGCGGGACAGCCUCCGGCGGGAGCUGGAGCAGCUGCGGGCGGCGGCCCGCGGGAGCGCCCCGCAGCCCAGCCUUGGACCAGAUCAAAUGGUGAUAGACCUCACAGACCCCAACCGGCCCCGGUUCACAUUACAAGAGCUCCGAGAUGUAUUGCAAGAGAGGAACCAGCUGAAAGCUCAGCUUCUGGUGGUGCAAGAGGAGCUGCAGUGCUAUAAGAGGGUGGAAAGAGGAACAGGCAGUUGCCUUGCAGGAGAGCUGGGAACUUCCCAUCUGUUCCCAGGCCUGGUGUGAGCCUGGGUGGCUGUGCUGGAGGUACAACACAUCUACCCCUGCAGAAAUUCACCAUUUGUGUCUUCACCCUCUUCUUACCCUUCGGUUUUGCACAAAUCCAAGUGUGAUUACACUUCCCUUUCACCCCCAUUAUGACUUGCCAUUUUUUUUCUCUGUGGAGAAGUCAGCUUGUUACUUUUUUAGUGUUCUCAUUAAAGCAUAACCCUGGCACCAUUACACUGCUGUAUUUAGAGAUAAUAAUUCAUUAUUUUCAGUUCACUACAGGGAAGAGGCUGGGCCAUCAUCCCUGUCCUGUGAACACUCAUUCACCCAUGCCCAGUGAGAGGUCUAACUCAUGCACUGUCACACUCUGCAAAAACCCACAAAAAAUAAACAAAAACAUUUAUUUUCCCAGUGGGAUCAUCUCACAGAAAAGGGACCAAACUGAAGAACUGGAAAAAGAAGCCAGUGGUAGCAGUGCUGGCAGCAGAAAGGACAGUGAAGAGAAGACAAUCAUCAAACGGUUGUUUUCUUUUAAACAUGGAAAAUGAGCAUCCUCAAGGACUUUGCUGCUGGUGAGAAUGGCCCUGAUGAGCCUCAGAGGCACUAGGAAAGACAAUGAUUGGAAGCAGCAGCAUCACUCCUACUGUAGAGAAUGAGCAAUCUCAUUAAAAUCCUGUUGUAUAAUAUUCUUUCAGAAUAGAUUUUACUCUGCUUUUUCAGAAACUGUUUGAAACAGACACUUUUUGUAUUUCUUAAUGUCAGACAUUACCCACAUGUAGAAAAUAAAACAUUUAUAAAAA